Long non-coding RNA from Ailuropoda melanoleuca (giant panda), 337 nucleotides. RefSeq lists it as uncharacterized. The record is from RefSeq and is a predicted model, not a curated record. NCBI's taxonomy places the organism in Eukaryota, Metazoa, Chordata, Mammalia, Carnivora, Ursidae. The transcript is spliced from 3 exons.
CUACAAAUGAAGAAGUUCAUCUUAGAGCUACAGCAGGAAAGAAAAAGCUUGUGACCUAGGUCGAAAGUCAUCACAAUGCCCUACCAAGCCAAAAAUCCUGUGAGAUCCUUCCUCCAGAAUCAGAGACCAUUUCUCCAGCAAGCUUUUCAACAGGAUUUUAACUCUUCUGUCAGCUGGCAAAAACACUGAACCAGCAGAUUGAAAACACACAGUGUCCCCUAAGAGAAGAUGCUCACCAGAGGACACCCUCAUGGCCCCAGGUGAAUCACCCCCAUCAGCGCAGCACUGCCAGACCUGACAGAGGAGAAGAGAAGCAUGACUGACGUUUCUGUGAAGA